This 99-nucleotide signal recognition particle RNA is filed under the name Natronogracilivirga saccharolytica. Its description in RNAcentral is "Natronogracilivirgula saccharolytica signal recognition particle sRNA small type". It matches the Rfam family "Bacteroidales small SRP". Rfam says of the family: The non-coding component of the signal recognition particle in Bacteroides Lineage: Bacteria; Pseudomonadati; Balneolota; Balneolia; Balneolales; Cyclonatronaceae. The record is from RNAcentral.
GGGUAAGUCCUGCACGACCAGCUCCCUCUCAACUCCGUCAGGACCGGAAGGUAGCAGCGGCAGGAGGUCGUAGCGGUGCGAUGCAGGUCGCUUACCCCU